RNAcentral lists this ribosomal RNA (401 nucleotides) under uncultured Pseudomonas sp. RNAcentral describes it as "bacterial SSU rRNA". It matches the Rfam family "Bacterial small subunit ribosomal RNA", at positions 981 to 1382 of the family's 1533-position model. The record is from RNAcentral. Lineage: Bacteria; Pseudomonadati; Pseudomonadota; Gammaproteobacteria; Pseudomonadales; Pseudomonadaceae.
UUGACAUGCAGAGAACUUUCCAGAGAUGGAUUGGUGCCUUCGGGAACUCUGACACAGGUGCUGCAUGGCUGUCGUCAGCUCGUGUCGUGAGGUGUUGGGUUAAGUCCGUAACGAGCGCAACCCUUGUCCUUAGUUACCAGCACGUUAUGGUGGGCACUCUAAGGAGACUGCCGGUGACAAACCGGAGGAAGGUGGGGAUGACGUCAAGUCAUCAUGGCCCUUACGGCCUGGGCUACACACGUGCUACAAUGGUCGGUACAAAGGGUUGCCAAGCCGCGAGGUGGAGCUAAUCCCAUAAAACCGAUCGUAGUCCGGAUCGCAGUCUGCAACUCGACUGCGUGGAGUCGGAAUCGCUAGUAAUCGUGAAUCAGAAUGUCACGGUGAAUACGUUCCCGGGCCUU